This 458-nucleotide ribosomal RNA is filed under the name uncultured bacterium. RNAcentral's name for it is "partial 16S ribosomal RNA". It matches the Rfam family "Bacterial small subunit ribosomal RNA", at positions 338 to 795 of the family's 1533-position model. The record is from RNAcentral.
CCUACGGGAGGCAGCAGUGGGGAAUAUUGCACAAUGGGGGAAACCCUGAUGCAGCGACGCCGCGUGAGUGAAGAAGCGUUUCGGCGCGUAAAGCUCUGUCAGCGGGGAAGAAACACGGUUCGCGAGAGCCGCGGACGGUACCUGACGAAUAAGCCACGGCUAACUACGUGCCAGCAGCCGCGGUAAUACGUAGGUGGCAAGCGUUAUCCGGAUUUACUGGGUGUAAAGGGCGUGUAGGCGGGGAGGCAAGUCAGAUGUGAAAACCACGGGCUCAACCUGUGGCCUGCAUUUGAAACUGUUUUUCUUGAGUGCUGGAGAGGCAAUCGGAAUUCCGUGUGUAGCGGUGAAAUGCGUAGAUAUACGGAGGAACACCAGUGGCGAAGGCGGAUUACUGGACUGUAACUGACGUUGAGGCUCGAAAGCGUGGGGAGCAAACAGGAUUAGAUACCCCAGUAGUC